RNAcentral lists this ribosomal RNA (468 nucleotides) under uncultured bacterium. Its description in RNAcentral is "partial 16S ribosomal RNA". It matches the Rfam family "Bacterial small subunit ribosomal RNA", at positions 28 to 507 of the family's 1533-position model. The record is from RNAcentral.
GACGAACGCUGGCGGCGUGCUUAACACAUGCAAGUCGAACGGAAAGGCCCUGCUUUUGUGGGGUGCUCGAGUGGCGAACGGGUGAGUAACACGUGAGUAGCCUGCCCUUGACUUUGGGAUAACUUCAGGAAACUGGGGCUAAUACCGGAUAGGAGCUCCUGCUGCAUGGUGGGGGUUGGAAAGUUUCGGCGGUUGGGGAUGGACUCGCGGCUUAUCAGCUUGUUGGUGGGGUAGUGGCUUACCAAGGCUUUGACGGGUAGCCGGCCUGGGAGGGUGACCGGCCACAUUGGGACUGCGAUACGGCCCAGACUCCUACGGGAGGCAGCAGUGGGGAAUAUUGCACAAUGGGCGGAAGCCUGAUGCAGCAACGCCGCGUGCGGGAUGACGGCCUUCGGGUUGUAAACCGCUUUCGCCUGUGACGAAGCGUGAGUGACGGUAAUGGGUAAAGAAGCACCGGCUAACUACGUG